This 305-nucleotide ribosomal RNA is filed under the name uncultured bacterium. RNAcentral's name for it is "bacterial SSU rRNA". It matches the Rfam family "Bacterial small subunit ribosomal RNA", at positions 337 to 634 of the family's 1533-position model. The record is from RNAcentral.
GCCUACGGGGGGCAGCAGUAGGGAAUCUUCCACAAUGGGCGAAAGCCUGAUGGAGCAACGCCGCGUGGGUGAAGAAGGUCUUCGGAUCGUAAAACCCUGUUGUUAGAGAAGAAAGUGCGUGGGAGUAACUGUUCACGUUUCGACGGUAUCUAACCAGAAAGCCACGGCUAACUACGUGCCAGUAGCCGCGGUAAUACGUAGGUGGCAAGCGUUAUCCGGAUUUAUUGGGCGUAAAGGGAACGCAGGCGGUCUUUUAAGUCUGAUGUGAAAGCCUUCGGCUUAACCGGAGUAGUGCAUUGGAAACC